Nycticebus coucang (slow loris) is the source of this 108-nucleotide small nucleolar RNA. RefSeq annotates it as small nucleolar RNA U13. Lineage: Eukaryota; Metazoa; Chordata; Mammalia; Primates; Lorisidae. The record is from RefSeq and is a predicted model, not a curated record. The transcript has a single exon.
AUCCUUUUGCAAUUAAUAAGCGUGAUGAUUGGGUUUUCAUGUGCAUGCGUGCAAUGUGCCUCCCACACACAAAUCUUGUUAUGACAUCGGCACAUUACCCAUCUGACA